GAUGAACGCUGGCGGCGUGCCUAAUACAUGCAAGUCGAGCGAACGGACGAGAAGCUUGCUUCUCUGAUGUUAGCGGCGGACGGGUGAGUAACACGUGGAUCACCUACCUAUAAGACUGGGAUAACUUCGGGAAACCGGAGAUAAUACCGGAUAAUAUUUUGAACCGCAUGGUUCAAAAGUGAAAGACGGUCUUGCUGUCACUUAUAGAUGGAUCCGCGCUGCAUUAGCUAGUUGGUAAGGUAACGGCUUACCAAGGCAACGAUGCAUAGCUGACCUGAGAGGGUGAUCGGCCACACUGGAACUGAGACACGGUCCAGACUCCUACGGGAGGCAGCAGUAGGGAAUCUUCCGCAAUGGGCGAAAGCCUGACGGAGCAACGCCGCGUGAGUGAUGAAGGUCUUCGGAUCGUAAAGCUCUGUUAUUAGGGAAGAACAUAUGUGUAAGUAACUGUGCACAUCUUGACGGUACCUAAUCAGAAAGCCACGGCUAACUACGUG
RNAcentral lists this ribosomal RNA (497 nucleotides) under uncultured bacterium. Its description in RNAcentral is "partial 16S ribosomal RNA". It matches the Rfam family "Bacterial small subunit ribosomal RNA", at positions 28 to 507 of the family's 1533-position model. The record is from RNAcentral.